UUAGCUCCAUGCACUCCUCCAGAGGAUUUAAUGACAUCACCUUGGCCAACAUUCAGGAAUUCAGAACUCUAAGUUACCCUGAACUAUCUAAAAACGAAAAUGGAAAGAUAAUUCUGCUUCAUGUCUGGUGUACUCCAACUGUGGAUAAGGGUGCCCUUCAGGGCCUUAAAGGACAGGAACAAAGUAUGGCAGUUUGUCAUCAGAGCUCCAGGAAGCCACGAGGAAACUGAGCUUAGGAACCAAAUUGCUCAAAAUGGGAAAGAAAUGAAGAGAUGUACAGCAGAUGCUCUCAGCCUGGAAGUGUAACCUUCGGGAAGAAGGAACCACCAGUCAUGCUAAUUGGUCUUGAACAAGGCUUGUUUGCGCUGAGAGAUGAGAGAGAGCACCCCAUUUCUUCCUGAUUCAGUUCUGUAGACAUCUUUCUGGGAUUUGCAAUUGAUAAUUAUAGACACAGAGAUACACUUGGCCUAAUUUGCCAGCCUAUUUGGAGUCAUGAGUGUCACCCUGUAUGUCUGGUAUAUGUGC
Molecule: long non-coding RNA, 525 nt
Filed under: Homo sapiens (human)
Lineage: Eukaryota; Metazoa; Chordata; Mammalia; Primates; Hominidae
Description: non-protein coding lnc-CES1-2:2
Source: RNAcentral